Molecule: ribosomal RNA, 462 nt
Filed under: Vreelandella stevensii
Lineage: Bacteria; Pseudomonadati; Pseudomonadota; Gammaproteobacteria; Oceanospirillales; Halomonadaceae
Description: partial 16S ribosomal RNA
Rfam family: Bacterial small subunit ribosomal RNA
Source: RNAcentral
CACGGGUGGCAGCAGUGGGGAAUAUUGGACAAUGGGCGAAAGCCUGAUCCAGCCAUGCCGCGUGUGUGAAGAAGGCCUUCGGGUUGUAAAGCACUUUCAGUGGGGAAGAAAGCCUUGGGGCUAAUACCCUCGAGGAAGGACAUCACCCACAGAAGAAGCACCGGCUAACUCCGUGCCAGCAGCCGCGGUAAUACGGAGGGUGCGAGCGUUAAUCGGAAUUACUGGGCGUAAAGCGCGCGUAGGCGGUCUGAUAAGCCGGUUGUGAAAGCCCCGGGCUCAACCUGGGAACGGCAUCCGGAACUGUCAGGCUAGAGUGCAGGAGAGGAAGGUAGAAUUCCCGGUGUAGCGGUGAAUGCGUAGAGACCGGGAGGAAUACCAGUGGCGAAGGCGGCCUUCUGGACUGACACUGACGCUGAGGUGCGAAAGCGUGGGUAGCAAACAGGAUUAGAUACCCUAGUAGUC